CAGGCUUAACACAUGCAAGUCGAGGGGCAUCAGGAAGAAAGCUUGCUUUCUUUGCUGGCGACCGGCGCACGGGUGAGUAACACGUAUCCAACCUGCCCUUUACUCGGGGAUAGCCUUUCGAAAGAAAGAUUAAUACCCGAUAGCAUAAUGAUUCCGCAUGGUUUCAUUAUUAAAGGAUUCCGGUAAAGGAUGGGGAUGCGUUCCAUUAGGUUGUUGGUGAGGUAACGGCCCACCAAGCCUUCGAUGGAUAGGGGUUCUGAGAGGAAGGUCCCCCACAUUGGAACUGAGACACGGUCCAAACUCCUACGGGAGGCAGCAGUGAGGAAUAUUGGUCAAUGGGCGCUAGCCUGAACCAGCCAAGUAGCGUGAAGGAUGAAGGCUCUAUGGGUCGUAAACUUCUUUUAUAUAAGAAUAAAGUGCAGUAUGUAUACUGUUUUGUAUGUAUUAUAUGAAUAAGGAUCGGCUAACUCCGUGCCAGCAGCCGCGGUAAUACGGAGGAUCCGAGCGUUAUCCGGAUUUAUUGGGUUUAAAGGGAGCGUAGGUGGACUGGUAAGUCAGUUGUGAAAGUUUGCGGCUCAACCGUAAAAUUGCAGUUGAUACUGUCAGUCUUGAGUACAGUAGAGGUGGGCGGAAUUCGUGGUGUAGCGGUGAAAUGCUUAGAUAUCACGAAGAACUCCGAUUGCGAAGGCAGCUCACUGGACUGCAACUGACACUGAUGCUCGAAAGUGUGGGUAUCAAACAGGAUUAGAUACCCUGGUAGUCCACACAGUAAACGAUGAAUACUCGCUGUUUGCGAUAUACAGUAAGCGGCCAAGCGAAAGCAUUAAGUAUUCCACCUGGGGAGUACGCCGGCAACGGUGAAACUCAAAGGAAUUGACGGGGGCCCGCACAAGCGGAGGAACAUGUGGUUUAAUUCGAUGAUACGCGAGGAACCUUACCCGGGCUUAAAUUGCAGUGGAAUGAUGUGGAAACAUGUCAGUGAGCAAUCACCGCUGUGAAGGUGCUGCAUGGUUGUCGUCAGCUCGUGCCGUGAGGUGUCGGCUUAAGUGCCAUAACGAGCGCAACCCUUAUCUUUAGUUACUAACAGGUUAUGCUGAGGACUCUAGAGAGACUGCCGUCGUAAGAUGUGAGGAAGGUGGGGAUGACGUCAAAUCAGCACGGCCCUUACGUCCGGGGCUACACACGUGUUACAAUGGGGGGUACAGAAGGCAGCUAGCGGGUGACCGUAUGCUAAUCCCAAAAUCCUCUCUCAGUUCGGAUCGAAGUCUGCAACCCGACUUCGUGAAGCUGGAUUCGCUAGUAAUCGCGCAUCAGCCACGGCGCGGUGAAUACGUUCCCGGGCCUUGUACACACCGCCCGUCAAGCCAUGGGAGCCGGGGGUACCUGAAGUACGUAACCGCAAGGAUCGUCCUAGGGUAAAACUGGUGACUGGGGCUAAGUC
RNAcentral lists this ribosomal RNA (1441 nucleotides) under uncultured organism. Its description in RNAcentral is "16S ribosomal RNA". It matches the Rfam family "Bacterial small subunit ribosomal RNA". The record is from RNAcentral.